UACAGAGGGUGCAAGCGUUACUCGGAAUUACUGGGCGUAAAGCGUGCGUAGACGGUUGCGUAAGUCAGCUGUGAAAGCCCCCGGCUCAACUGGGGAGGGUCACGCGAUACUGAUCGACUCGAAGGCAGGAGAGGGAAGUGGAAUUCCCGGUGUAGUGGUGAAAUGCGUAGAUAUCGGGAGGAACACCAGUGGCGAAGGCGACUUCCUGGCCUGUUCUUGACGCUGAGGCGCGAAAGCUAGGGGAGCAAACGGG
Molecule: ribosomal RNA, 253 nt
Filed under: uncultured bacterium
Lineage: Bacteria
Description: partial 16S ribosomal RNA
Rfam family: Bacterial small subunit ribosomal RNA
Source: RNAcentral